RNAcentral lists this transfer-messenger RNA (390 nucleotides) under Patescibacteria group. RNAcentral describes it as "MWCR01 sp014728435 Standard tmRNA". It matches the Rfam family "transfer-messenger RNA". From Rfam's summary of the family: Bacterial tmRNA, also known as 10Sa RNA or SsrA, is named for its dual tRNA and mRNA-like properties. RNAcentral also lists the same sequence under 1 other name. The record is from RNAcentral.
GGGGAUGCCGAGCUUCGACGGUGCGUUCGCGUCUUGUUUUGCAGGCCGAGCCGGCUUAACUCGUUAAACUGAGCCGCAAACGAUAAUUGCCAACAUCGUAGAAAAAGCUAAGGCCGCUAUUGCCAACGCAAUGCGCGCGCCUCAAGCUGUACCGGUCGUCGCUUAAGCCGACCGCGAUCCCCAUGGCUCACCCGCAGCUAUGGCCAGAUCGUCAUAUCGCGGGUUAAGGCUCUAACUUUGGCGCAAGUUAAAGCUCGAAAAGGCAGCGCCGCCGUCAAUCGUUUCUCGUUUGCUCUCAAGCGAUUGCCGUAAAUACGAGCAAACCAAGCCUGUGAAGAUGAAUAAGCCGCGCGUAUCCGGACAGGGGUGCAACUCCCCUCAUCUCCACCA